This 253-nucleotide ribosomal RNA is filed under the name uncultured bacterium. RNAcentral describes it as "partial 16S ribosomal RNA". It matches the Rfam family "Bacterial small subunit ribosomal RNA", at positions 524 to 776 of the family's 1533-position model. The record is from RNAcentral.
UACGAGAGGUGCAAGCGUUAUUCGGAAUUAUUGGGCGUAAAGAGCUCGUAGGCGGUUUGUCGCGUCUGCCGUGAAAGUCCGGGGCUCAACUCCGGAUCUGCGGUGGGUACGGGCAGACUAGAGUGAUGUAGGGGAGACUGGAAUUCCUGGUGUAGCGGUGAAACGCGCAGAUAUCAGGAGGAACACCGGUGGCGAAGGCGGGUCUCUGGGCAGUAACUGACGCUGAGGAGCGAAAGCGUGGGGAGCGAACAGG